UGAGGAAUAUUGCUCAAUGGGCGCAAGCCUGAAGCAGCGACGCCGCGUGGACGAUGAAGGUCUUCGGAUCGUAAAGUCCUUUUCUGUGUGACGAGAACGGACGGUAGCACAGGAAUAAGUGUCGGCUAACUACGUGCCAGCAGCCGCGGUAACACGUAGGACGCAAGCGUUAUCCGGAAUUACUGGGCGUAAAGAGCGUGUAGGCGGUUUUGUAAGUCAACCGUGAAAGCUCCCGGCUAAACUGGGAGAGUGCGGAUGAGACUGCAGGGCUAGUGGGUCGUAGAGGAAUGUGGAAUUCCGGGUGUAGUGGUGAAAUGCGUAGAGAUCCGGAGGAACACCAGAGGCGAAGGCGGCAUUCUGGACGACAUCAGACGCUGAGACGCGACAGCACGGGGAGCGAACGG
RNAcentral lists this ribosomal RNA (404 nucleotides) under uncultured bacterium. Its description in RNAcentral is "bacterial SSU rRNA". It matches the Rfam family "Bacterial small subunit ribosomal RNA", at positions 355 to 775 of the family's 1533-position model. The record is from RNAcentral.